Molecule: ribosomal RNA, 422 nt
Filed under: uncultured bacterium
Lineage: Bacteria
Description: partial 16S ribosomal RNA
Rfam family: Bacterial small subunit ribosomal RNA
Source: RNAcentral
AAUAUUGGACAAUGGGGGCGACCCUGAUCCAGCCAUGCCGCGUGUGUGAAGAAGGUCUUCGGAUUGUAAAGCACUUUAAGUUGGGAGGAAGGGCUUUAGGCUAAUACCCUGAAGUUUUGACGUUACCAACAGAAUAAGCACCGGCUAACUCUGUGCCAGCAGCCGCGGUAAUACAGAGGGUGCAAGCGUUAAUCGGAAUUACUGGGCGUAAAGCGCGCGUAGGUGGUUCAGUAAGAUGGGUGUGAAAUCCCCGGGCUUAACCUGGGAAUUGCUUUCAAAACUGACGAGCUAGAGUACGGUAGAGGGUAGUGGAAUUUCCUGUGUAGCGGUGAAAUGCGUAGAUAUAGGAAGGAACAUCAGUGGCGAAGGCGACUACCUGGACUGAUACUGACGCUGAGGUACGAAAGCGUGGGUAGCGAACA